Molecule: ribosomal RNA, 253 nt
Filed under: uncultured bacterium
Lineage: Bacteria
Description: partial 16S ribosomal RNA
Rfam family: Bacterial small subunit ribosomal RNA
Source: RNAcentral
UACGUAGGGUGCAAGCGUUAAUCGGAAUUACUGGGCGUAAAGCGUGCGCAGGCGGAUAUUUAAGUCAGGGGUGAAAUCCCAGAGCUCAACUCUGGAACUGCCUUUGAUACUGGGUAUCUAGAGUAUGGAAGAGGUGAGUGGAAUUCCGAGUGUAGAGGUGAAAUUCGUAGAUAUUAGGAAGAACACCAGUGGCGAAGGCGGCUCACUGGUCCGGUACUGACGCUGAGGUGCGAAAGCGUGGGGAGCAAACAGG